UAGGUUACAAGAAAGGAUAUGAUUAAGAGAAUUCAACAAAGUUGCCUAUCCUAAGGGAGCAUUCCCAAACAUUCAACUCUACACAAUUUCCCUUUCUUUGAUCCCUAUCUUUUUCUUUUUCUUUUCAAAUCCACACAACCAUGAGCAUUUUCUUUGCUUUUUUUUUUCUUUGCUCUAUGGUUUCAAGGGUGAUUUUUUUUUUUUUUUACAUCAUAUUUUCACCCUUUCAUAAAAAUUCACUUUUCCAAGUUUCUAAUCACAUCUUUUUAUUUUACUCUCCCCAACUUUAGAUUCCAAAACCAAAUUUAUUUACUAAUGCUCCCUACUUAGACAUAAGCAAAAGGCAAAAUUUGCAAACAACUCGG
This 365-nucleotide long non-coding RNA is filed under the name Lathyrus oleraceus (garden pea). RNAcentral describes it as "Pisum sativum (pea) long non-coding RNA (PSAT_LNC012228)". Lineage: Eukaryota; Viridiplantae; Streptophyta; Magnoliopsida; Fabales; Fabaceae. The record is from RNAcentral.